This 253-nucleotide ribosomal RNA is filed under the name uncultured bacterium. RNAcentral's name for it is "partial 16S ribosomal RNA". It matches the Rfam family "Bacterial small subunit ribosomal RNA", at positions 524 to 776 of the family's 1533-position model. The record is from RNAcentral.
UACAGAGGUCUCAAGCGUUGUUCGGAUUCAUUGGGCGUAAGGGGUGCGUAGGCGGCGUGGUAAGUCGGGUGUGAAAUCUCGGAGCUUAACUCCGAAACUGCAUUCGAUACUGCCGUGCUUGAGGACUGGAGAGGAGACUGGAAUUUACGGUGUAGCGGUGAAAUGCGUAGAUAUCGUAAGGAAGACCAGUGGCGAAGGCGGGUCUCUGGACAGUUCCUGACGCUGAGGCACGAAGGUCAGGGGAGCAAACGGG